GAAAUGCGAUAAGUAAUGUGAAUUGCAGAAUUCAGUGAAUCAUCGAAUCUUUGAACACACAUUGCGCCCCCUGGUAUUCCGGGGGGCAUGCCUGUUCGAGCGUCAUUUCACCACUCAAGCCUCGCUUGGUAUUGGGCAACGCGGUCCGCCGCGUGCCUCAAAUCGACCGGCUGGGUCUUCUGUCCCCUAAGCGUUGUGGAAACUAUUCGCUAAAGGGUGCUCGGGAGGCUACGCCGUAAAACAACCCCAUUUCUAAGGUUGACCUCGGAUCAGGUAGGGAUACCCGCUGAACUUAGGC
Molecule: unclassified non-coding RNA, 298 nt
Filed under: plant metagenome
Description: partial contains 5.8S ribosomal RNA, internal transcribed spacer 2, and large subunit ribosomal RNA
Rfam family: 5.8S ribosomal RNA (bases 1-105)
Source: RNAcentral